GCCCCCGGCCACACGCUGCAGGGAGCCUGGCAACCUCUCUGCUCCUCCUCAGGAGCCCGCACCGCACCGGUAACAGCGGGAGGCCUCAGUAGGAGAGCUGGUACACGGAGGCCCAGGCCUGGCAGCCCGUGACGAUCAGCUUGUUGCUGGCGGACACAUCGCAGCGGGUGGUGCAGGAUUUCUCCAGCAGCUGGAACUCCGUGUACCCCGCGGGCAUGCUGUGAAUGGUGGUCAGCUUGUCCGUGCCGACGCUUACCCACCACUGACCAUACGGGGAGAACUUGAGCCCCAGGACGGCGCCGUUCUUGUGCCCCGCCGCGUGCGCCUGGCCCCUGAGGGUGGACUGCAGCCAGUGCUGCCCGCUGGCCAGGCCCACGAGCAGCCAGUCCUCCCAGAGGCUGUGCGACAGGCUCGUGAUCUGAGACUUGAAGAGAUGCUUCUGGGACUUGCGAGCUGCCCUGAGGUCCCAGCACUGCAGACAGCCGUUCAGGCCCCCUGUCCAGACUGUGUCGUCUUUAAUCACCGCGCUGUUGGCCUCACCCUGCCGGCCAGGAAGGUCUUUGACCACGUUCCGAUCCCGGACAUCCCAGAUCCUGACGGUGCCGUUGCUGAAGCCGGCGAAGGCCAGGCUGCCUUUGAGGUCGGCGUCCAGGGCCUGGCAGGAGAGCCCCUCGCAGGGCAGCUGGCUUGGGUUGUGCAAGUCCGGCGCCAGCAGGUCCCAGACAUUCACGCCCGACAGGCCGUGGCCGCCGGCGAAGAGCAUCUUGCCGUUGGGGGCCAGCAUGCAGGUGGACAGGAAGGCGCCCGGGGUCUGGAUGGGCCAAUGCAGGUGGCUCUGGGGGAAGGUGUCCUGGGCCUCCCGGCCGCCCAGCCUCCACACCUUGAGGCCGCCCGGGCCGCAGGUGAACGCGUGGCGCGUGAGGCUGUUUACGGCCGUGGCGAGGACGUGGUGCCCAUGUUGCAGCAUGUGCAGCCUCUGCACCUUGUAGGGCAAGCCCAAGCUCUCGGACUGGCCCCGUGGGGUGCCUGGGCGCAGCCACGUUUCCCCGAAGACCUCAGGGUCCUGGAAUGUGGGCCUCAGGAAUGGGUGGGCUUUUCGGUCCAGGGCCUGCUGCCCUCUGGGGGCCUUGGUGAAGUCCUCCUUGAGGUCCUCCCAGGAGCUGGAGGAGAGCUCUGCCGAGUCAGUUCGCGAAUCCUCCUCUUCCGACUUUGCCUCCAAGUUCAGCAGCGCGGGACCCGCGGCUCCGCGCCCUCCGGAGGAAAUCGCAUCAGCCCCCCGACUCUGCUGGCCCCGGACUGUCGCGCUGGUCCACCUGCGGCCUUUCCACGGGCCUGGCUCCCGCUUUCUGGCGGUCUGUGCUGCCAGCUUGUUUUGACCAGUCCGUGCCGAGACCCGAGACUGAAACCGAAACCGAGCACCGAGCGCUGAACGUCGCGAACCGACCCUGCUGACGAGAGAUCCGGGGACUACGGACCACGAACUCUGACUCAGGUCGUAUGGACAUUAUGAACUAUGUGUGUUGAGAUUGCAGUGGCAAAGAUAUUAUGGGUUGGCAUUACGCUUAUAUAUUACUACUUAUCCUAUUAUUUGCAUUAAUAUGGUCGUGUGUAUGUGUGGCCGAUGAGAGCAGUAAUAAAAACUCUUGUACUGAGACUC
Long non-coding RNA from Fukomys damarensis (Damara mole-rat), 1657 nucleotides. Lineage: Eukaryota; Metazoa; Chordata; Mammalia; Rodentia; Bathyergidae. The record is from Ensembl.